This 212-nucleotide unclassified non-coding RNA is filed under the name uncultured fungus. RNAcentral describes it as "partial contains 18S rRNA, ITS1, 5.8S rRNA, ITS2 and 28S rRNA". The record is from RNAcentral. Lineage: Eukaryota; Fungi.
AAGGAUCAUUAACACAAUCAUGCGAUUGUUUUUCCAGUCCUACCACGGUUGAAUAUUGUUUUGAUUUUCAUUUUUUUUUUAUAAACCACAAUCACCAAUUGAACAGCUUGAACUGAAUUAUAGAUUGGAGAGAAAUGUUUUCUACGUUUCUUUCCUCUUCUAUUAUACACAAAAUUUUAUUACAACUCUUAGCAAUGGAUAUCUUGGUUCUC